Long non-coding RNA from Melanotaenia boesemani (Boeseman's rainbowfish), 116 nucleotides. RefSeq lists it as uncharacterized. The transcript is spliced from 3 exons. Lineage: Eukaryota; Metazoa; Chordata; Actinopteri; Atheriniformes; Melanotaeniidae. The record is from RefSeq and is a predicted model, not a curated record.
UGGGAGGAGGGGGCUUGGAGCACAGCGACCAACUGUAUGACUGGCAGGAGUCUCCAGUGCGUUGGGAAGGAGGGGCCUUUGACCAAAGUUACCCAUCAGUCGAUAGCUGGUUGGGG